Kogia breviceps (pygmy sperm whale) is the source of this 401-nucleotide non-coding RNA. The record is from RefSeq and is a predicted model, not a curated record. Lineage: Eukaryota; Metazoa; Chordata; Mammalia; Artiodactyla; Physeteridae.
CAGCUCUGCUCCUUAGAUGGAAAAUCUCCUCUCAAAUGAAACUUGUUUCCUUCUCCUGUAGCUUCAGAAAAAGAGAUUACCUAGACAUAUUUUCUUUGUUCCACAUUACUUCACUUGGAAUGAUGCCAAACAUUUUUAGGUCUUUAUUUUUAAUCACAAACUCACAUAUUUUUUGAUGCUAUUAGAGGGACACAAAUAAAUAUAUGCCCUCCUUUUUCUCUUCAACAUCCCUCCUUCUAUUCCUUCCUUCGAAUAAUCAUAAAAAAUUCAUAACCUGGCCUGAGUUUAAUCCCAAGGUCUCUGUUUCUGAUUUUCUUCCAUUCCUGCUCCCGCAGAUGUAAGAGUUAAAACAAAAAUUAUAUGGCUGCAGGCUAUGAGAUGACUAAUCCAUUAUAUAUAUA